UACCCCGCCAAGCACCACAGAGCCAAUGCCAGAGUGCCAGCCAGUGCCAAGUUGACGUUCAGGGAGUGAGGGUGUGCCGAGUGUGUGUGUAUCAGUGCCUUCCUCACAUUUCAAAGGCACAAGUGGAGAUAGAAAAAAAAAUAGAAAAAAAAAAAAAAACAUCUCAGUACAAGUUUUACCAGUUCAUCUCCAACUUCAGAAGCUCAACGAUCGAGUAACACUGCAACUCUACGCGCAGCACCCCCACUACUUCCAAAAGGCUCUCACUGAAUCUACACGGGUUUUUACGGGUGUUUUUUUUACGGCUCUAGUGACGGAUUAACAACAUUUCUACAUUACGAACAGAAGAAACACGCUUGAGAACCCGACUGAUCAUCUCUGUGGCCUUUGAAAAUAGUCGUGGUGAGAGCAAAGCGUUUCCGAACAAAAAGUGAUAUAUACCUCAAGACACAGAUGUAAUUCCUGACCCAGAGAAAGAAAACUGAAGGCAGAAACACAGUAAGACCAUCAGAGGAAACACGAGGAACUAUUAGUCGCAUAUUACAAGACAGGUGUCAAAAUGCAGGUGUGUAGAAGAGGGUGGCGUGUGCAGGUGUGCCUCGCUCUGGCUCUCACCUGCUUCACUGUACUUGUUCACGCCCAGCCAGCAGCAGGUGUGCUGGAGUCAGACUCUCAGUGGUGGCAGGGCUGGCACGAGAUGCGCAGGCCAGCAGUGACAAGGGAGCAGAUGAAUGUGACAGCUGUGGCCGGACAGACAGCCGCCCUCCCUUGCAAAGUCAUGAACCUUGGGGAUCGCACGGUGUCAUGGAUCAGGACUCAAGACUCUGCCGUGCUUGCUGUCGACAGAACCACCAUCACCUCUGACCCUCGCUUCUCGGUAAACCACCCGGAGGAGACAGAGGACUGACUAUUGGAGGUCCGGGGGGUUGAGUCGCGGGAUGAAGGCACCUACGACUGCCAGGUGAACACACAUCCCAAGAUAUCCACUCAGGUGCACCUCAAAGUACUCACCCACCCAGGACAGACGUCAAUACUUGAUAUGCCGGUCUCAGACACAGGAAUGCUCUUCCCUUCCCCAG
This 1079-nucleotide unclassified non-coding RNA is filed under the name Portunus trituberculatus (swimming crab). Its description in RNAcentral is "uncharacterized LOC123500361, transcript variant X2". The record is from RNAcentral. Lineage: Eukaryota; Metazoa; Arthropoda; Malacostraca; Decapoda; Portunidae.